This 775-nucleotide ribosomal RNA is filed under the name uncultured Neocallimastigales. RNAcentral's name for it is "partial large subunit ribosomal RNA". It matches the Rfam family "Eukaryotic large subunit ribosomal RNA", at positions 18 to 634 of the family's 3401-position model. The record is from RNAcentral. Lineage: Eukaryota; Fungi; Neocallimastigomycota; Neocallimastigomycetes; Neocallimastigales.
CAGACGAUGCGUCAUGCAUAUCAAUAAGCGGAGGAAAAGAAAAUAACAAUGAUUUCCCUAGUAACGGCGAGUGAACAGGAAAGAGCUCAAAGUUGGAACCUGCUUGACUUAGUUAAGCCGGAUUGUAAACUGUAGAAACGUUUUCUAGGCAAGCCGAGUUAAAAAGUCCUUUGGAACAGGGCAUCAUAGAGGGUGAGAAUCCCGUCUUUGACUCGAGUAUUUUGUCUUUUUAUGAUACGUUUUCCAAGAGUCAGGUUGUUUGGGAAUGCAGCCUAAAUUGGGUGGUAAAUCUCACCUAAAGCUAAAUAUUUGCGAGAGACCGAUAGCGAACAAGUACCGUGAGGGAAAGAUGAAAAGAACUUUGAAAAGAGAGUUAAACAGUACGUGAAAUUGUCAAAAGGGAAGCGUUUGACACCAGUGUUGUUUUCUCGAAAAUCAAUUAAAAAGAGUUAGAUUUUGUUGUGUAUUGACCUUAACAGCUUGCAUUUCAAUUUUCUUGCUUUUUUAAUGCACUUUUCGUUUAACAAGUCAACAUCAGUUUCUUUUGUUGUAAAAAGGUCAUUGGAAGGUGGCUUUCUUUUCGGAGAAAGUGUUUAUAGCCUUUGCCUCUGCAAUCGGAGAGACUGAGGUCUGCAGCGUAGACUCUUCGGGGUUAGAUACAUUUGUGCUAAGUUAUAGCUUUUUAUAGACAACUUGUUGACUAUGAUUAGUCUUGUAGCUUACUCGCUUAUGCUAUUUUACCUACGCUUAGGAUGUUGAGUCGUAGAGCACGCAG